AGCGAACGCUGGCGGCAGGCCUAACACAUGCAAGUCGAACGAACUCUUCGGAGUUAGUGGCGGACGGGUGAGUAACACGUGGGAACGUGCCUUUUGGUUCGGAAUAACUCAGGGAACCUUGUGCUAAUACCGAAUGUGCCCUUCGGGGGAAAGAUUUAUCGCCAUUAGAGCGGCCUGCGUCUGAUUAGCUAGUUGGUGAGGUAACGGCUCACCAAGGCGACGAUCAGUAGCUGGUCUGAGAGGAUGACCAGCCACACUGGGACUGAGACACGGCCCAGACUCCUACGGGAGGCAGCAGUGGGGAAUCUUGCGCAAUGGGCGAAAGCCUGACGCAGCCAUGCCGCGUGAAUGAUGAAGGUCUUAGGAUUGUAAAAUUCUUUCACCGGGGACGAUAAUGACGGUACCCGGAGAAGAAGCCCCGGCUAACUUCGUG
Molecule: ribosomal RNA, 433 nt
Filed under: uncultured bacterium
Lineage: Bacteria
Description: partial 16S ribosomal RNA
Rfam family: Bacterial small subunit ribosomal RNA
Source: RNAcentral